Molecule: long non-coding RNA, 529 nt
Organism: Xenia sp. Carnegie-2017
Lineage: Eukaryota; Metazoa; Cnidaria; Anthozoa; Malacalcyonacea; Xeniidae
Exons: 2
Source: RefSeq, a predicted model, not a curated record
CUUAACUCACAAUGUGCAGUUUAGGAUUCUCAAAUUUUACAAACGGAAAAAAGUGUGUCUAAUUUUACAUUACAUUAGUACAAACAAUAAUAGUGGCUACAGUUUCUGAAUGCAACCAGUGAGUCUUAAAGACUGCAACCAGAGUACGGUGAAUUUUUUUAUUCUUCAAGUGGCGAUUGUUGUUCAUUCAAGGAACAUUAUGUUUAACAUUGAAGGAAUUCUAUCAAUAAUUUUUUGUGAUAUUUGAGAAUUUCGGUUACAUGAAUGUAUUUUUUGUUGUAACAAACAUACGCAAGAACUUUAAAAAAAUUUACCAAAGGAAAAACGAAAAGCUCUCAACAAAAUCAGUGCGGCCAGGCGUUUAUGUAAAAAAAAUCGACUCGGCAUGAGCACAAUAUACGUAUGCGUUUUUUAACAGUGCAUGGUCAACACGAAGUUAGCACAUGCUUUGAUAAAUUGGCAUAUAUUUACAUUUCUAAGACCCUUUGAAGCAUAUCCAUUGGGGAAAUUAUAUUGUUUAGAAAUUAAA